RNAcentral lists this ribosomal RNA (424 nucleotides) under Leptodactylus leptodactyloides group sp. ABGD cluster 42. RNAcentral describes it as "partial large subunit ribosomal RNA". It matches the Rfam family "Bacterial large subunit ribosomal RNA", at positions 1822 to 2439 of the family's 2925-position model. Lineage: Eukaryota; Metazoa; Chordata; Amphibia; Anura; Leptodactylidae. The record is from RNAcentral.
UUUGAUAACUAAUAAAAGGUCUAGCCUGCCCAGUGACUCUGUUCAACGGCCGCGGUAUCCUAACCGUGCGAAGGUAGCGUAAUCACUUGUUCUUUAAAUGAGGACUAGUAUGAAUGGCAUCACGAGGGUUUUACUGUCUCCUUCCUCUAAUCAGUGAAACUAAUCUCCCCGUGAAGAAGCGGGGAUUAGCCUAUAAGACGAGAAGACCCUAUGGAGCUUUAAACACACAACAAUUGCUCUGCCCCCCCCCGUAAAUCUCUGGAAAGCCAUCUACCCGAGCAUUUUGAUUGCAAGUUUUAGGUUGGGGUGACCGCGGAGUAAAAAUUAGCCUCCACAGCGAAUGGGACUUUUCCCUAAACCCAGGGUUACGACCCUAAGAAUCAAUAAAUUGACACCCAUUGACCCAAUUUUUUGACCAACGAAC